GCCACAGAGUUUUUCAGGAUAUGUUUCCUAGAUAUUGGAUUUUUUUUUGAUGGUUUUCUUUUAUUAAGCAAGUCAUGGUUUGAUUACCCUUUAAAAUCUUUGUUAUGUAUUGUGCAGUGUGUGUGUGUGUUUACAUAGAGCAGGGGUAACAUCAGCCCAUAAUUUUGUAAGGCACUGAAUAUAAUUUAAAAAUUUUUGCAAACACAAUUAUAAAGAUUCACCCGUCACUGAAAAAUUGAAACAUUUUUUAAUGCAGGUAGAACAUGAUUCCUUUUAGUACUACUGAGUAUGUUUGGCUUAAGUACUAAGACUUGCUUUCCUAUUUGGCUUUAGAUUCUGCUUAAGGAAGUAGUGAAAGAUUUAAUUCACCGUACUUUUGUUAGAAAGUAUGGAAAUGUUUGUCCAUGGGAACUUUUGUCACUUGCUAGAAUAGAAAUUCAUUGGGAAGAAGGAACAUUUUCAUUGUAUUGCCCAAGAGCCAUUGAUAUAUUCCCUGCAUCUUUCAAAGGCAUCUUUCAUGCCACACAGGAAAACUGUAGUUAGUGAAGGAACAGAAAGAGCACUUCUUACAUGAGUGAGUCUCAGCGAACUUGCACAGCAGCUGUGCUAGGUACUGAUGAGGAUUACCACAGGACCCAGUUUCAGGGCUUCCUGUGGCUGAAGAGACAACUGGCUCCCUCGGGGGACCACUUUGAUGGAGACUGCAGCAAUAAUGCAUCCUCACUCUUGCUAGUGGAUCUUGUGGCCAUGUAGUACAGAACUGGUGCCAGAUAAAGUCGGAAAGUAAUAAAAAGCAAGAUGAAUCUCCGAGAUUUUAAAUCGUCAUGUGAAGAACUAAAACAAACGACCUGGGCGUGACGCAUUCACUCAUAAGGAAAAAGAGGCAGAGGAAGGUUGCCUUUAACUCAGAAAACUUGCAGAGAUUUCAGGCUUUUCAUUUGAGAACCAUUUGGGUGUGUUGUGAAAUAAAGUUGCAGAGUAGGCAUGUUCAGACCUUUAUUUGCUACAUUUAGUAAGAAAGAUUCUCACCCCCCCCCGCCCCACUUAACUACAAGAAGCCAGAGUUUUCUGUGCAAACUGAAACAGGCGUUGCAAGAAUCAGAUUCACUCUGGACGACUCUUCACAUUCCAAGUCAUCAUUGCAUUAGGCAGCACAAUUCCAUCUCUGGUUGAUGGGCAGAAAAAGUGGGCAGCUUGCCAGGUAGACGUUUCCAUGACUCCCAGCCCCCAAAGGUGAUGCGUUUUUCAGCUAAUUCAAUGAAGAGUGGGCUGAACUUUGGGUCUAAACGAGACAAUAGCUGCCUUCGCAGUAUCAGCAGAAUGGUUGAUGGGAAUGCACUCUACAUUUGGCAGAGGAUCAUGUGACCUUACGACUGAGAUUUUGUGAUGGUGCCAACAGAGACUUGGAAAGCAGCAACCGUCCUGACUUUUUUCUUCUUUUCUAGCAUGGCUCAGAAAAUGGUGGAUCUUAAUACUUGACUUUAGCCAGACUCAGCAAGCGACUGAGCUUUGAAGCACAACUUCGCCUUUAUUCUGGGUUUUUGGCAGGCCACCAGGAGGCUGUCCCUUUCACGCCUGAUAAAUUCUGCUGCUUAUCUCUAAAUAGGAAAAAAAAGAAAAAGAAAGAACAUAUAAACAGAAUAUUGAGGCAUAAUAAGUGAAUCCUAAAACUGUAUGUGCUUUCUUGUUUUUUGCCUUUUCUUACUAGUGAUUGUUUUUAAUGUUAAUACCCUUUCUGCUUGUUGAAGAAUCCAAGUAGGCUUUUUUCUUUUUUUUUUUUUUUUUUUGGUUUAUAAUGAACAGGCAUUUGAACUGGGCAAACAGGACGACAGCAGCAGUGAGCAUGAGAUCAUUGCAGCAGCGUAGCAAACUGGCACCCUGCCUUCCUGCCUUCUCACCCUUUUGGUUCAGGAGACAAACGUGUGCAAUCCUCAUUUCUAAAGUCAGCACAGCCUGGAAGGAUUCCUGGUCUCUCCCACCUUCUACCAUUCUGCUGCCAGGGACGGCAAGGAUUGGUGCAGCUUCUGCGCAGUGCUUUGUGCCUGGAAUACCGAGAAGGAAGAAAAAGAAGACAAGCACCCUGGACCUUUUUUCCAAGAAAUAACAAGAGCCAUGAAGGAAAAAAAAAAAUCUGAGUUUGUCCUACUCUAUGCAACAGUGCUGAAAAAAAAGAGAGCGAGGGAGAGACGGUCCUGCUCAAAAACAAAAACAAACAAACAAAAAUCCAAACCAAAACAAACCAAAAAAAAAAAUUGGCUUGUAUAACUACAGAGACAUCGGGCUUUUUAAAGCAGCUUGUAAGGCAACAUAAGCAAAUGAGCCUUCUCUAUUUGUAUUAUUUCAAAAACAUGGCAAAAUAAGCAAUAUAUUGCACUUGGUGAAAUCGCACCUUUCAUAUCAGGGAAAAACUUAAAAUGGAUAUGAGAAGUGAAGAAAGUGAUCAUAGGAGAGAAAAUCAUCUCAGGUGUCUGACGAUUUGUGAACACCAAAUGACUAUUCUGUGGAGUCAUCUUUCUUGCCUUUGAAUUAGCUUUCCCUAGGCCAUGAGUCAACAUCAAUAUUUUAUACAUCCAGAUUGGGAUUACAAAUCAUAAAGAGGAUGAAAACUUGGUCUCACUAGUGACACAUCUUGGUUACCAUUGAGGAAAGAUUCUGCUUGAGAAAGAAACCCAUGUGAAAUUCAUCAAUUCAUAAAUAUAACUUAUCAACUCAAAGAAGUCCUUCAGCAGGGCAUGGGAAAUAUCUGGAGAAGUUUCCUCAUCUUCAAGAGGCAUCAAGGAGACAGCUAAAUACAGAUGGAGAAUUCUGUGGAGUUCCUGAAAUCCACAACAACUGUGAGGACCAAGGAAAGUGGUUUAAUCAGCAAGCUGGGCUCGCUGAGAGCAGCGUUACACAGCCUCACAGCUGAGGGAAGAAUUUCAUGAAUUUUCCAAAGGAUGGAGCACAUGCUUCACAAAAUUCUUACUGACGGACACUAAGGUUACAAUUAGAAAGAAACAAAAGUGCGUACAAGCACAACUACUCACAACAGCAUGGGAAAUACUGAUGAUGCUAAAGAAUAUCUCCGAUGGAAUAGUCGAGAAUGUGCUGUAUAAAGUCAUGGUACAUCUCUUCAAAAAUCAUUGACUGAAAAAAUGUCAUGAGAAAAGCAGCAUUAUUUCUUUGUUAGUGCUUCCAAUAUCUCUUCCUGGCAAUUCAGGUGGAACAGAGAAUCCAGUGAAAUCUGGUGCUUUGCCUCAUUAUUAAGCUCAUAUCUGCCAGCUAAUCAUGUGUGAUACAGCAAAAAUGUAAAAGCAUUUGAAUCAAUAGCUCUUUCAGAUGCUCUUCUGAUAAAACUGCUUCAUUUUAUUUUCUAACUAAUUAAUUCAUGUAAGUGGAGAGAUUAACAGAAAAACUUAUUCAUAUUAUGAGUAACAGGAUCCAAACAGUUUAUUGAACUGUAUUGUUGGCAUCUUUGCAACCAAUAAGACUCUUUAAUAGUCAGAUCUCAGAAACAUCUGUCUUAGAAAGGAGUAUACAUUCUGGCUUCCACUUACUUGAGAAGGAAUUAACCUAGGGUCAGGAGCAGAGGUUAGGUUACUUCUACCUGGAAAUUAAUCAGAAAAUUCAUUUUGCCCUUUGAUGUUGCUUUUCUGCACACCCACCCCAUGCCUACCUUCACCUUUUAUCUUCUUAAGAUCCUAAAGCUCCCUUUCACGCACUAUGGUAGUUGAAAGGAAUUUAAAGUUGUGGAUUUCUAUAUUUAUGUAAUUAUAUACUGAAAAUAUAAUAGGGUAGGGGAAAAUGUUUUUAAGAGAUGUGACACCUUAAAGAAAAUUCACAGACAUCAAAAGUGACUCUAAUAUAUUGGCAAAUUUCAGGCUACAUUUCUAGUCAUAUUUCUGCUAGAAGAAACCUACUUUCCAUUUUGUGUUUUCUCAUUUGCAUGACUGCAAAGCUAUUCAUGCAUAUGAAAAGGAUAUUAUUCAUCUCCAUACUCCUUCCUCUCCAUAUUCCAAACCCAAUGUGUUGAUGAGUUAUGCAUAAGGAAACACUGCUGUAUCUAUAUAUUUAUGCAUGUAUACCUAUGUGAUUCAAAUUCGGUAUCACAACGGGAUAGCAAGCCCAAGUGAUAACAUUAUGUACUAGAUGUGUCGUAUUACAUCAUUAAUAGCACAUCAAAAUUGUCAAAUAUGUUGAAAUCCAGUAAUUGCAAGUGACAAGCUUUAGCGUGAUUUGUCUCCAUUGGGAAGGAUUGAAAAAGAGAGUGAGAGAAAGGAGUAUACUUCUGAAUUUCCCCUCUAAGUGCUUAUGGUAGGUUCUUAUUACUUCUGCAAAUAUUUUUAGUGAGAUGCUGUUUUCACAGUAUUCAUGGUAACUGGCUAGUGCAGUUUUCACGUGCUUGCACCUUAUCGUCUCUCAAGUUCAGAAACCCAGUGCUGUUCCAGAAAGAACUACAAAGUUGAACUGGCAGGAAGAAAAAUGACCAAACUGGCAGGGCUUAUCUCCCUCUAAUGUGUGACUCUUCUUAACUCAAUAUUCCAGGAAAUUAUUCACUUGAAAGUUUAGAUGGAGUUCACAAAGAAAAAUGAUUUCUCUUCUACUCUCUGGUUCUACUCCUACUCCUCAGAAAAGCUAAUAGUAUUGCUUCAUUCCUAAAAGUUUUCUCUUAAAAAUGUCUCAGCAUUUGGCAAUAAGAGGAAAAUAGGAUGACAGUGAAUUUCAUGGGCACAGAACUCAUUCAUUACAAUGAUGAGGUAUUCAAGAACCCCCACCCUUUGUGUCCUGCUUUAUCUGUAUUUGGGGAUGGCAUGGAUGAGGAGAAAAAGGAAGCUUAUGUGUUUUCUUUAAAAUUAAUUCCCAGCUUUAUGAGUGAAUUAUUGUAAGCCCUGAGGACAUUAUAACUGCAUUCUUCUUUUCAGUAAUUGUGGCAGAUAUUAAAGUGCACAGACAAAGGUAGUCAUGUGUAGAAUAACCUGUUUUUUCAGACAGACCCACUUGUCCAAGAUCAAACGGCUGCAGCACGUUUAGGGUUACAGUCUCCUCCCUUCCUCCUCAUUCUCAACCGCAGUGGAGCUUUUUCCAGCGUUGCCAUGGUAACACUAUAUCUGGCUGCUAGCUCUGUCGUAAGUUAUUGAACUGAGACUGGCUUUUGGUUUAGCAGAUAAUUAGGUUCUGUCUCACAGGUUCAUUUUCCUGUGACUGGGACGUGAAUAUGACCUACAGCUGGCCUCAAUUUCAGUGUCACAGGCAAAACUUUAACCCUUCCCAAGCUCCCAAGGCUCUGAAGCCUUGCUUGUGAAGGGGAGGAAGUCUGGUGCAGCCCACCCACACCUAGGAGAGGAUCACCAAGUCCCCAUUUUAUUUUUUAUCUUCAUCAUAACACUAAGGAAAAUAUGAUCAAGAUUGUACACUUAGAGCAUUUUAAAAAUUAAAAACAUAUCAGCAAUAUAGUACAUUACUAUGUGCAUUUUAUAUAUAACAUGUAACGUACAAAGCAUUCCCUAGUCAUUAUCUUUCCCCUACUUCUUAAAUGACUUUUUAAGUCACGUCAAAGUACCUUGUGCUGCAAUUUGGAGUGCACAAUACUUAGGUUUCAAAAACCCCAUUCUCAGGAAUGUUAGCUUGGUACACUUAUUCUCAGCUUCCAGAACUGCCUGUCAGUUGAUUCAUGCCCCUCCUUCUCCUGUUUAUAAACCCUGGAUUUUUGCUGACAUUGAAAGGUGCCUUUGGAGUCACAGGCAGGUCCAUACUAUGGGGAACAACGCCACCACUCUGCUAAAAUUCCCGAAUGUUCACUCAGGGCUUGAAUCUUGUUGGUUUGGAAAGCAAGCGAGAUAUGUCCUUUGUUUUGGACAAAGAAAUAAGCAUAACUUUUAGAACAGAUACUGAAUUCACAAUACUCACGGCAACAUGGGGACCUGCGUGUUUAAUAGGAGAGAGUGUGUCUUUCUAUGUCAAACAAUAGGAGAGACCCUCAAGGAAAUCGAUGUCUGAAAAAUUUAGUGCAUUAUCCUCAAAAUGCAAGAAAGGAAGAAGAGAGAGUUGAGACCACCAUGAUUAAAACAUGAAUUAAAGAAAUUCUAUUGCUUAAUUGGCUGGAGAAUCACACAACUAUGUCAGUAGAGAUAGGAAAGACUUGGAAGACUCAACAGCUGGAUAUUCGAACCAGGAUACAUCUGUGUGUGUAUGUGUGUGUGUACCACAUAGACUAUAUUCUGUUUUAAUCCAUUCCUUCCAUUUUCAGACUCCCAAUGAGAAGGGCAUUCUGAAUGGUAGCAGCCUCAGAUGUCCUGAGGAAGAGCAGCUUUGGGUCCAAAAGGGUCCCAUGAACGCAGAGAACUUAGCAUAGGGGGUUGAGGUCAGGGUCAGGGGAAUUUGUAUGAAGUAGUAGAGACAGAGGUGAUAUGUGAGAAACUCAGUUGUUGGUAGUUAUUUUCCACUAAACUGAGUUUCUUUUAACUUUUAAUGUCAGUACAUAGCACUUCUUUUCUUACUAAUAAACAGUAAAUGUUUGCUGAAUGAAUGCAUGAAUUCUUCCUCACUCUCUAUUCUAUGUAAUAAGAAUUAAAUGAGCACUCAGUUAUAAAAAGGUCUUGGAGUGUCUACAAGCAUUUUUCAAUCCAAAGUCCUUUAACUGUCUUCCCAGUUUCCCAUAACCCUAAGCCCUACACAAGCAGGUCAUGUCUUGCCUGUGUUAUGGCAACAGCCUUGUCACUGAUCUUCUUCCCUCUUAUUACCUACUGUAAUCUCUAUUAUACCUGGGAGAUGGGGCGUUAAUUUAAAACGCUUAUCACUCCUCCUCACAGCUUCCCAGUGGUUUUCCGUGUAGUAUGACUAGCAAACACAAUCCUUACUGUGCUUACAAGGCCUGCCUACCUUGCUGACAUCAUCACUCCCCUCUUUUUACCCUUCUUGUGAACACAUGCCCACUGGUGAGCCUUAUCCUUUACUGGUCCCUCUGGAACACAUGACUUAUUCCUUCACUUUAUUCUGGUCUCUCUACUCAAAUGUCACCUUCUUAAAGAUGCUUUCCUUAAACAUCUUAAAAAGCACAUCAUUCAUUGUCCAACAUUUCUCUUGCUCUAAGUUUUCUUCAUAGUGCUUAUCAGUUCUUGAUAGGCUGUUAAACAACAAGCAAAUAUGAAUAUACCUUUCCCACUAAAAUACAAGUUCCUUAUGGGAAAGAGCUUUGAUUAUUCAUGAGUAGACUCUAGUACCUCGAACCUAGUAGGCUGGACUAUAGUAGCCUUCAAUAAAUAUUUGUUGAAUAAGUAGGUGAAUGAAUGAAGACAUCCAAGUAGAGGGUCUGGAUAUCCCAACCUAUAUAUAUAUUGAGGUUGAGUAUCUCAAUACACACACACACACACACACACACACACACACACAUAUUGGAAUAUAUAUACAUUUUGUGACCAAGAAUGAGUGGUCCCAACAUAAUGAAUGAAAUACCCUGCAUGAUGAAAUUGUAUGAGUCAUGCAAUAAAAUUUAGGGACAGAGCUUAUUUCUUUAACUUGCUUCACUAGAUUGAGGUAAAACAAGGAUAGGAAGCUUAUUUCUACCUCAUCCUUGCAUGGAUUAAAUUCAAAAUAAAGCAUCAUCCAUAUACCAAACACAUUUCAACCUUAGUCACUCAUGGAAGAGUCUUUCUGAAAAGGACCAGAUAGUAAAUAGCUUUGGUUCUGGGGUCAUACAGGCUGUGUCACAACUUCUGUGAACGUCUGUCGAGAUGUGAAAGCAGCCACGGGCAACACAGAAACAACUGGGUUUGGCUGUGCUCCAGUAACACGUUACUUAUUAAAACAGGGACUCAGCCACGUUCAGCACACAGACCAUAGUGUGCUGACCUCUGUUGUAGUGCCUUUUCCCAGUUCCUCCUCCCACCAAGAGAAUGCCCAAAGGACCAUGUCUCUCUCACCUGGUUCUUUCAAGAAAUGAAACAAAUUGGGGAAUGGCUGGUGGGUGGAACACUACUGAGGCGCUUUUUUUUUCCUUUUUCUCCUUCUUUGUUUAAUUAUUAGUCAUUUCCUAACUUUAAACUGCCACUGCAGUAGCAAUAACAAUGGUGUAUUGGUAAAUGUCUAACAACUGACUCUCUGAGAAAGGAAAAAAAGAUGUUUACGAAUUUCUGUAGUGUAAAUUCUCUCAUCAUGGCCAUUUUAAACUACCACUAUGAUGUCACUUAACCUUGAUGUUGGGAAAAGAUGCGCUUAAUAGUCUCAUGAAUCAGUGUGAGCUGGCUCCAGCCCACAGCAGGAUGCCUAUUUAAAAGCUUCAGUAACUUUGCUCACUGUCACUGCAAAGUCUGUAGGAUGGUGGUGGUCUUGAUGGGAGCAACUGGUUGGAUGAUCUCUUGGAAUGACGGAAAAGUAUGCAAAUGUAAUGUUGUAUGUAAAGCCUUUAGCUCUGUGUUUGGUUAAAAUACAUACUCAGUAAAUGGUGGCUAUUAUCCUCUUACUUUAAGUUAUUAUAAGCAUUAACAUUAAAUGCUUAGCUACUGGCUCAAUCCCAUUUUAAUGCCUUUGUGUUAAUAAGGCCUCUUAACAUGGACACAACAAAGGUAAAGGAAUUUUAUGUAGCUAUUCAUGCUUCUGCCCAGCUCAAGGUUAAGAUAGCAACAAAAUACUCCAACCAGAAUAAAAGAAGUCUCCACUUGACUUCAGCUCUUCAUAACACUUCACAAGGGUCAAGCUGUUUUAUUUUCCUUCAGUGUUAAAUAGAAAGCAUCUUAGGAGCAGAGUUCAAUUAUUGAUUCAAUAGUGGGUUCAAUUUGACUGUAAUUCUGACAAAUAUACUUCAAUGAGUCCAAGACCAGGGAUGGACCAACAAAAGGGUGAAGGUUUCACUCAUGCUUUGAGGCAAAUGCUCAGACUGAAUUAGUAACACGGAUGUCUUAUGUUGUUUGGCUACUAAAAAUAUAGUUCAGUAGUAGAAUAACAGGGAAAAUAUUGACAGUGGUUUGAGUGACCAGACACCAAAAUGGACAUCAAUCUGAAAGAAAUUAGUAAAAUAAUAAUAAUAAUAAUAAAAAAUAGAGACCCUGAAAGAGAUUAAUAAACAGCUUAGGUUUAAUCACUCAAUAUUCAGAAGAAAAGGCUAAUAAAUGCUGUUUUAAAUACUGUAAGAGUGUUUUUUUAACUAUUUACCCUCUAGUGUCUUCUGCUCAUUUUCUUUAAUCUAUAAUGAGUUCUGUACUUUUAUAAAAGAUGUGAUUUAGUGUUUGAUCAGUGAAAUAAGGUAAGAAAGAGAAGCUAAUCUUAGUCUUUUCUUCUAGGCUUCUGUUAGCACAUAAUUUAAAUAUAUUGGUUUUGUGGUGGUUAUCCUGGUCUGCUUCUGGACAACCCUUUGUUCUAGAAGCCUUCUUUUUAAACCAUGGAAUACCUCAGACCAAAACCUGGUCAGAAGUCCCUUCAGUUCCCAAAUAAUACUAAUUGAGUUGAGUUUUCUGUUUCAAUAAACUCUUCUGUAUGUAUCUUUUGCUACAUUUUCUUUUGGUUUUCCGCUCAUAUUAAUAAUAUUAAUGAAAAUAUAUUUUAGGUAAUCAGCUUUCUUUUAAACAGUGUAUAUUAUGGAAAAUUUUGAAGAUAUACAAAUUUGAGAGAAUAUGUAAAGAACUUCUAAAUGCCCAUCACCCAUAGAGGUUAAAUUAUUCAACUACUUAUUAGAGGGGAGGGGGAAAAUUGACAUCUUUUUUCCCAGUAACAUUGAGAUAUAUUUGACGUAUAACAUUGUGUAAUAUAUUGUGAAAUGAUUUUCACAAGGUUAGUUAACACAUCCAUCCCCUCACAUAAUUGUAUAGUUUGCCUUUUUCCUUUUCUUUUCUUUUCUUUUUUUUUAGUAGGGAGAACAUUUAAGAUCUACUCUCUUAGCAAAUCUCAGGUGUGCAAUAUAUUAUUGUCAACUACAGUCACCAUGACGUAUGUUAGAACCUCAAAACUUUUUCAUUUUGUAACUGGCGAUUUGUACCCUUUGAUCAUCACUCAUUUCUCCCACUCCCCAGCUUCUGGCAGCUGUCAGCCUACAAUUUGUUUCUAUGAGUUUGUGUUUUUUAGAUCCCACAUAUAAGUGAGAUCAUGUAUGAUUUGUCUUUAUCUGACUUAUUUCGUUUGGCAUAAUGCCCUCAAA
Non-coding RNA from Vicugna pacos (alpaca), 10105 nucleotides. NCBI's taxonomy places the organism in Eukaryota, Metazoa, Chordata, Mammalia, Artiodactyla, Camelidae. The record is from RefSeq and is a predicted model, not a curated record.